RNAcentral lists this ribosomal RNA (497 nucleotides) under uncultured bacterium. Its description in RNAcentral is "partial 16S ribosomal RNA". It matches the Rfam family "Bacterial small subunit ribosomal RNA", at positions 28 to 507 of the family's 1533-position model. The record is from RNAcentral.
GAUGAACGCUGGCGGCGUGCCUAAUACAUGCAAGUCGAGCGAACAGACGAGGAGCUUGCUCCUCUGACGUUAGCGGCGGACGGGUGAGUAACACGUGGAUAACCUACCUAUAAGACUGGGAUAACUUCGGGAAACCGGAGCUAAUACCGGAUAAUAUAUUGAACCGCAUGGUUCAAUAGUGAAAGACGGUUUUGCUGUCACUUAUAGAUGGAUCCGCGCCGCAUUAGCUAGUUGGUAAGGUAACGGCUUACCAAGGCAACGAUGCGUAGCCGACCUGAGAGGGUGAUCGGCCACACUGGAGCUGGGACACGGUCCAGACUCCUACGGGAGGCAGCAGUAGGGAAUCUUCCGCAAUGGGCGAAAGCCUGACGGAGCAACGCCGCGUGAGUGAUGAAGGUCUUCGGAUCGUAAAACUCUGUUAUUAGGGAAGAACAGAUGUGUAAGUAACUAUGCACGUCUUGACGGUACCUAAUCAGAAAGCCACGGCUAACUACGUG